This 429-nucleotide ribosomal RNA is filed under the name Actinomycetes bacterium. RNAcentral's name for it is "Actinobacteria bacterium partial 16S ribosomal RNA". It matches the Rfam family "Bacterial small subunit ribosomal RNA", at positions 355 to 776 of the family's 1533-position model. The record is from RNAcentral. Lineage: Bacteria; Bacillati; Actinomycetota; Actinomycetes.
UAGGGAAUCUUCCGCAAUGGGCGAAAGCUUGACGGAGCAACGCCGCGUGAGUGAUGAAGGUCUUCGGAUCGUAAAACUCUGUUAUUAGGGAAGAACAAAUGUGUAAGUAACUAUGCACGUCUUGACGGUUCCUAAUCAGAAAGCCACGGCUAACUACGUGCCAGCAGCCGCGGUAAUACGUAGGUGGCAAGCGUUAUCCGGAAUUAUUGGGCGUAAAGCGCGCGUAGGCGGUUUUUUAAGUCUGAUGUGAAAGCCCACGGCUCAACCGUGGAGGGUCAUUGGAAACUGGAAAACUUGAGUGCAGAAGAGGAAAGUGGAAUUCCAUGUGUAGCGGUGAAAUGCGCAGAGAUAUGGAGGAACACCAGUGGCGAAGGCGACUUUCUGGUCUGUAACUGACGCUGAUGUGCGAAAGCGUGGGGAUCAAACAGG